RNAcentral lists this small RNA (627 nucleotides) under Cystodermella cinnabarina. RNAcentral describes it as "Cystoderma cinnabarinum sequence contains 18S rRNA gene, ITS1, 5.8S rRNA gene, ITS2 and 28S rRNA gene". The stretch from base 255 to 408 matches the Rfam family "5.8S ribosomal RNA". The record is from RNAcentral. Lineage: Eukaryota; Fungi; Basidiomycota; Agaricomycetes; Agaricales; Squamanitaceae.
CAUUAUUGAAUAAAUUUAAUGGGUUGUAGCUGGCUCUUUCAGAGUAUGUGCACGCCUGUUAUUUUAUCUUCUCCACCUGUGCACUACUUGUAGACUUUGGAUAUCUUUCUUUUUCGAGGAAACUCGAAUAAGAUAAUGGGAUUUGCUGCGCCUUGAAAGAGGCAAGCUCAUCUUAAAUUUCCAGUCUAUGUUUUACAUACACCAUUAAUGUAACAGAAUGUUCAAAUGGCUUUCAAGCCUAUAAACAUAAAUACAACUUUCAGCAACGGAUCUCUUGGCUCUCGCAUCGAUGAAGAACGCAGCGAAAUGCGAUAAGUAAUGUGAAUUGCAGAAUUCAGUGAAUCAUCGAAUCUUUGAACGCACCUUGCGCUCCUUGGUAUUCCGAGGAGCAUGCCUGUUUGAGUGUCAUUAAAUUCUCAAUCUUUUUGGUUUAUUGGAAUCAGUCAGAUUGGAUAGUUGGAGGUGUUUGCAGGCUUCAUUGUCUGCUCCUCUUAAAUUCAUUAGCGGAACCUAGCAUUGUCCCAUUUCUGAUGUGAUAAUUAUCUACAUUAUUAAUGCGGUACAUAACUAAUAUAGUGUUCAGCUUCUAAUCGUCCAUUCAUUUGGACAGCUCUUGACAAUUGUCCU